GGUUCCAUAGGGUAGCUGUUAACAUGUCUGCUUUACACGCAGAAGGUUCUGGGUUUACGCCUCAGUGGAACCA
This 73-nucleotide transfer RNA is filed under the name Pteropus alecto (black flying fox). It matches the Rfam family "tRNA". Rfam says of the family: Transfer RNA (tRNA) molecules are approximately 80 nucleotides in length. Their secondary structure includes four short double-helical elements and three loops (D, anti-codon, and T loops). RNAcentral also lists the same sequence under 1 other name. The record is from Rfam by way of RNAcentral. Lineage: Eukaryota; Metazoa; Chordata; Mammalia; Chiroptera; Pteropodidae.